RNAcentral lists this ribosomal RNA (710 nucleotides) under Enenterid sp. C-KH-2003. RNAcentral's name for it is "eukaryotic LSU rRNA". It matches the Rfam family "Eukaryotic large subunit ribosomal RNA", at positions 151 to 618 of the family's 3401-position model. The record is from RNAcentral. Lineage: Eukaryota; Metazoa; Platyhelminthes; Trematoda; Plagiorchiida; Enenteridae.
AAGUCGUCUCCGCACAGAUGCUGCUCCACUCCAAGUCCAUUCAUGAGUACCCGUAUAUAGACUUGGCCCAAAAAAGGUGAAAGGCCCCUGGGGGUGGAGUUUCAAGCAUGUCAGUGUCUCUCUGGAUAGACCUUGAGUCGGUUGUUUGUGAAUCCAGCCAAAUGGGUGGUAAACUCCAUCAAGGCUAAAUACUUGCACGAGUCCGAUAGCGAACAAGUACCGUGAGGAAAAAUGAAAAAGUACUUGAAGAGAGAGUAAACAGUGCGUGAACCGUUCAGAGGUAACAGGUGAGUUGAACUGCGAACUUGAGAAUUCAGCCGGUGAAUAUGGUUUGAGCUUGGUCAAAUUGGCUGAUGUUGUGGGGUCUGCAGAGACGCAGUUCUCGCCUUCGGGUGGGGAUGCGCGAUACGCUUAUCAAGUGUGCGCGCCUCAUGGCAUUUCGAGUCUAUUUGCCGGUGCAUUUUCUCCGAGUGUUCACCACGACCGGCACUGCUGCCUGACUGUUAUGGUUAAACCGGUUUUGCUUUGUCCUUGUGGCUUUGCUUGAUCGGGAUGGCAGGUAGCCUGUUAGGCUUGCCUUCGGGCUCGUCUCUCGGGUGUAAUCAGCUGACUAUAAUGGUUCUGUGCGGUGUGUCGAAGACGGCGGCUUUUGGUGUGAGCGCGCGUGCCUUGUCUGCUGACUUGGUUGGGUUUGGUUGCUAUGUUGCUUG